GUGGGAAAUUUUGGACAAUGGGCGCAAGCCUGAUCCAGCAAUGCCGCGUGCAGGAAGAAGGCCUUCGGGUUGUAAACUGCUUUUGUACGGAACGAAACGGUCCGGGUUAAUACCCUGGGCUAAUGACGGUACCGUAAGAAUAAGCACCGGCUAACUACGUGCCAGCAGCCGCGGUAAUACGUAGGGUGCAAGCGUUAAUCGGAAUUACUGGGCGUAAAGCGUGCGCAAGCGGUUUUGUAAGACAGGCGUGAAAUCCCCGGGCUCAACCUGGGAAUUGCGCUUGUGACUGCAAGGCUGGAGUGCGGCAGAGGGGGAUGGAAUUCCGCGUGUAGCAGUGAAAUGCGUAGAUAUGCGGAGGAACACCGAUGGCGAAGGCAAUCCCCUGGGCCUGCACUGACGCUCAUGCACGAAAGCGUGGGGAGCAAACAGGAUUAGAAACCCUAGUAGUCC
Molecule: ribosomal RNA, 450 nt
Filed under: uncultured bacterium
Lineage: Bacteria
Description: partial 16S ribosomal RNA
Rfam family: Bacterial small subunit ribosomal RNA
Source: RNAcentral